UACGUAGGGUGCGAGCGUUAAUCGGAAUUACUGGGCGUAAAGCGCGUGUAGGCGGUUAUCCAAGUCAGGUGUGAAAGCCUUGAGCUCAACUCAAGAAAUGCACUUGGUACUGGGUGACUAGAGGACCGGAGAGGAUAGUGGAAUUCCCAGUGUAGUGGUGAAAUACGUAGAGAUUGGGAAGAACACCAGUGGCGAAGGCGGCUAUCUGGACGGUUUCUGACGCUAAGACGCGAAAGCGUGGGGAGCAAACAGG
Molecule: ribosomal RNA, 253 nt
Filed under: uncultured bacterium
Lineage: Bacteria
Description: partial 16S ribosomal RNA
Rfam family: Bacterial small subunit ribosomal RNA
Source: RNAcentral